UAAUAAUAAUAAUAAUAAUAAUAAUAAUAAUAAUAAUAAUAAUGAAUACCAACAGAUGACAAUGUUUCUCUAAAAGAAACAGUGAAACUUCCAAAAUACAAAGCGCUGGAAAUAGAGUUAACUUGAAUGUGGAGCCUA
This is a long non-coding RNA of Octopus sinensis (East Asian common octopus), 138 nucleotides long. RefSeq lists it as uncharacterized. The record is from RefSeq and is a predicted model, not a curated record. NCBI's taxonomy places the organism in Eukaryota, Metazoa, Mollusca, Cephalopoda, Octopoda, Octopodidae. The transcript is spliced from 2 exons.